This 435-nucleotide ribosomal RNA is filed under the name uncultured bacterium. Its description in RNAcentral is "partial 16S ribosomal RNA". It matches the Rfam family "Bacterial small subunit ribosomal RNA", at positions 29 to 507 of the family's 1533-position model. The record is from RNAcentral.
AGCGAACGCUGGCGGCAGGCUUAACACAUGCAAGUCGAACGGGCAUCUUCGGAUGUCAGUGGCAGACGGGUGAGUAACACGUGGGAACGUACCCUUCGGUUCGGAAUAACUCAGGGAAACUUGAGCUAAUACCGGAUACGCCCUUUUGGGGAAAGGUUUACUGCCGAAGGAUCGGCCCGCGUCUGAUUAGCUUGUUGGUAGGGUAACGGCCUACCAAGGCGACGAUCAGUAGCUGGUCUGAGAGGAUGAUCAGCCACACUGGGACUGAGACACGGCGCAGACUCCUACGCGAGGCAGCAGUGGGGAAUAUUGGACAAUGGGCGCAAGCCUGAUCCAGCCAUGCCGCGUGAGUGAUGAAGGCCUUAGGGUUGUAAAGCUCUUUUGUCCGGGACGAUAAUGACGGUACCGGAAGAAUAAGCCCCGGCUAACUUCGUG